Molecule: non-coding RNA, 63 nt
Filed under: Scrippsiella trochoidea
Lineage: Eukaryota; Dinophyceae; Peridiniales; Peridiniaceae
Source: RNAcentral
AGUGUGCGUGACAGGAAAACGCCCAAAGGAUGCGAUGACUUGGACAGUGCAGCAGAAACAAAC